Molecule: ribosomal RNA, 253 nt
Filed under: uncultured bacterium
Lineage: Bacteria
Description: partial 16S ribosomal RNA
Rfam family: Bacterial small subunit ribosomal RNA
Source: RNAcentral
UACGGAGGGUGCAAGCGUUAUCCGGAUUUACUGGGCGUAAAGGGCGCGUAGGCGGCAAUUCAAGUCAUCUGUGAAAUCUCCGGGCUUAACUCGGAACGGUCAGAUGAUACUGCUUUGCUAGAGUGCGGAAGGGGCAAUCGGAAUUCUUGGUGUAGCGGUGAAAUGCGUAGAUAUCUGGAAGAACACCGGUGGCGCAAGCGGAUUGCUGGGCCAUAACUGACACUGAGGAACGAAAGCUAGGGGAGCGAAUGGG